GGUCCGAGUUGUAAUUUGUAGAGGGCACUUCGGGCGCGCGACCGGCCUAAGUUCCUUGGAACAGGGCGUCAGAGAGGGUGAGAAUCCCGUACGUGGCCGGCCGUCACCCCGUGUGAAGUCCCUUCGACGAGUCGAGUUGUUUGGGAAUGCAGCUCAAAAUGGGUGGUAAAUUCCAUCUAAAGCUAAAUACCGGCCAGAGACCGAUAGCGCACAAGUAGAGUGAUCGAAAGAUGAAAAGCACUUUGAAAAGAGAGUCAAACAGUAUGUGAAAUUGUUGAAAGGGAAGCGCCGGCAACCAGACGUGCCCGCGGGCGAUCACCCGGCCUUCGGGUCGGCGCACUCGCCCGCGAUCAGGCCAGCAUCGGUUUCGACGGCCGGACAAAGGCGCGCGGGAACGUAGCUCCUCUCGGGGAGUGUUAUAGCCCGCACCGCAAUGCGGCCAGCCGGGACCGAGGACCGCGCUUCGGCUAGGAUGCUGGCGUAAUGGUUGUCAGCGACCCGUCUUGAAACACGGACCAAGGAGUCUAACAUCUAUGCCGAGUGUUUGGGCGUGAAACCCAUGCGCGGAAUGAAAGUGAACGGAGGUGGGAGCCCCGGCGCACCAUCGACCGAUCCUGAUGUCUUCGGAUGGAUUUGAGUAGGAGCAUAGCUGUUGGGACCCGAAAGAUGGUGAACUAUACGUGAAUAGGGUGAAGCCAGAGGAAACUCUGGUGGAGGCUCGCAGCGGUUCUGACGUGCAAAUCGAUCGUCAAAUUUGCGUAUAGGGGCGAAAGACUAAUCGAACCGUCUAGUAGCUGGUUCUUGCCGAAGUUUCCCUCAGGAUAGCAGUAACGUUUUCAGUUUUAUGAGGUAAAGCGAAUGAUUAGAGGCCUUGGGGUUGAAACAACCUUAACCUAUUCUCAAACUUUAAAUAUGUAAGAAGUCCUUGUUACUUUGUUGAACGUGGACAUUCGAAUGUACCGUUACUAGUGGGCCAUUUUUGGUAAGCAGAACUGGCGAUGCGGGAUGAACCGAACGCGAGGUUAAGGUGCCGGAAUGGACGCUCAUCAGACACCACAAAAGGUGUUAGUUCAUCUAGACAGCCGGACGGUGGCCACGGAAGUCGGAAUCCGCUAAGAAGUGUGUAAAAACUUACCGGCCGAAUGAACUAGCCCUGAAAAUGGAUGGCGCUCAAGCGUCCUACCCAUACCUCGCCGUCAGGGUAGACACGAUGCCCUGACGAGUAGGCAAGCGUGGAGGUCCGUGACGAAGCCUCGGGCGUGAGCCCGGGUCGAACGGCUUCUAGUGC
RNAcentral lists this ribosomal RNA (1288 nucleotides) under Pertusaria lecanina. RNAcentral's name for it is "eukaryotic LSU rRNA". It matches the Rfam family "Eukaryotic large subunit ribosomal RNA", at positions 135 to 1445 of the family's 3401-position model. Lineage: Eukaryota; Fungi; Ascomycota; Lecanoromycetes; Pertusariales; Pertusariaceae. The record is from RNAcentral.